ACUGACUGAUUGGCUGUCGUUACAUCCAGUUUUAUUGUCUUUUUUUACCCUUUCAGUAUUAUUCUUACAAGUUAAAAGAGUCUCUGAGUCUGAGGGAUUAGGGACCUAAACCAAAGAGGAAUCUUAUGAUCUGUGAGCAGAAUGAGAUGUGGUCUUUCCUGGAUGAAGACAUCUGAAGAGAGCAUAUGUGAACCUCAAGAGCAAGACUGAUGAUCCCAACAGACAAAUUGCCACAGUAUGCAGCAUUCACUAGAAUGAAAGGUUUAUAGAUGAAAAGGGACCUUGAGCUGGCUUAAAGGACCUUGAGCCAGGUUUUCUACCACAUGAAAAUUUGACACACAGAAAAGGGAGAUCUUUACGUCCUGUUAUACAGCAAGAAAAGUCUAAGAGCUGAGAUACAUAAACCAUGGAGGAAAGUCAGCAGUAAGUUCCUUAUCAGAGAGGAGAGCAAGGUGAAAAUCAUGUGAGCUUCAUGUGAAAACUAAGGAAGCAAGACUGGGAAAAAGAAAUAACCAGAAGAACUAAAGGCUAGGAAGAAGCAAAGAAAUGAGAACUGCCACAAACUGAGAAGUGAGAAUACCAGCCAGUUGUCUGAAUCAACAGCCAGCUUGUUUCAAACACUGUUCUCCCAGUGAGAGCUCAUGUGCCUGGAGCUGUGUGAAAUCAGAGGCACAUUGCCAGGAUGGCAAGGAACUGCCUUCAUGCAGCCUCCUACCUCAGUUAAAUGUUCCCUCCUCCUGUUGUCUUACAAGGGAAUAGGUAGCUAUAACACUGGAUUACUGCCAAAGUCAAGGUGUAUGCAUCACCCUGGCAAACUGUGAUUCAUUAUAGCCAGGAGCAGGAUGCACAGUAGAUGAGCAGCAUUAUUUCUAGCCAGAGCUACUCACUGGCUGAUAAUGAGAACAGUGCCUUAGGGGAACUCAGCUGAUUUUCUUUUUCCAGUUUCUGCACCAGCCUGAUUCCUUCCUACGCUGCCAACUAUGGGCAAAGAAGAGAUGAUUCUUGCUCCCAUGACUUCAUGCUUGAUUUAACCCACAAACCAAAGUGCCCCAAGGCUCUCCAAGUUUGGCUUACUAACUGUUCUUGCAAUUACGUGUAAUGUGUUCCAAUGGUUCAGUUUUCUCAAAGCCAGGAAAAGGAAACCUCCACAGAGCCCAUCCACUCAAGCAAGCCUAUCGCACAGAUAAACAUGAUCUCACUGAAAAAAGCAAAGAAGGCAUCUGGCCCUACACACACAAAUCUAAGAAUGUAAACAGAUUCUUGCCUGCCAAUCUCUCCUUACAGGAAAUUGUCUCCAGCAUAGACCCUUGCCAACAAAUAGAAAAAUGGAGAUGUUUUAGAACAGGCAAUCAAAGCCU
Molecule: non-coding RNA, 1358 nt
Organism: Zonotrichia albicollis (white-throated sparrow)
Lineage: Eukaryota; Metazoa; Chordata; Aves; Passeriformes; Passerellidae
Source: RefSeq, a predicted model, not a curated record